GGAUCUUGCGCACACGACCUGCUCCACUAACCAACUAAGCCACGACCUAUUCUUAUGCCACUAACACAUGCAUGUAUAACAACUUCCUAGAUAACUUGUGCAUCACGUUAGCUUCAGAUCUUUGCAUGCAGCAGCUUCUCACUGCAUGUUGGAGUCUCUCCAUACAUGCUCUUCCAACUGAACCACCAGAUGUAUGCCUCGCACGUAUCUCUGCACAAACACACUACUACAUGCAAAUACAAAAGUAAACAUGCAGAUACACAAGACACCAAG
This 273-nucleotide long non-coding RNA is filed under the name Hordeum vulgare. Its description in RNAcentral is "long non-coding RNA (HVUL_LNC008388)". The record is from RNAcentral. Lineage: Eukaryota; Viridiplantae; Streptophyta; Magnoliopsida; Poales; Poaceae.